RNAcentral lists this ribosomal RNA (456 nucleotides) under uncultured Sphingobacteriales bacterium. RNAcentral's name for it is "bacterial SSU rRNA". It matches the Rfam family "Bacterial small subunit ribosomal RNA", at positions 925 to 1382 of the family's 1533-position model. Lineage: Bacteria; Pseudomonadati; Bacteroidota; Sphingobacteriia; Sphingobacteriales. The record is from RNAcentral.
ACAAGCGGAGGAGCAUGUGGUUUAAUUCGAUGAUACGCGAGGAACCUUACCUGGGCUCGAACGUAAGAUGACUGUAGGUGAAAGCUUACAUCUCUUCGGAGCAUUUCACGAGGUGCUGCAUGGUUGUCGUCAGCUCGUGCCGUGAGGUGUCGGGUUAAGUCCCAUAACGAGCGCAACCCCUACCUUUAGUUGCCAUCAGGUAAUGCUGGGGACUCUAAAGGAACUGCCUACGCAAGUAGUGAGGAAGGCGGGGAUGACGUCAAAUCAGCACGGCCCUUACGUCCAGGGCUACACACGUGCUACAAUGGCCGAUACAGAGGGCAGCUACCUGGUGACAGGAUGCAAAUCUCCAAAGUCGGUCUCAGUUCGGAUCGGAGUCUGCAACCCGACUCCGUGAAGUUGGAUUCGCUAGUAAUCGUGAAUCAGAAUGUCACGGUGAAUACGUUCCCGGGCCUU